UCGAGAAUCUUCGGCAAUGGGCGAAAGCCUGACCGAGCGACGCCGCGUGCGGGAUGAAGGUCUUCGGAUUGUAAACCGCUGUCAGAGGGGAUGAAGUCAUAGAGGGUUCUCCUUUUAUGUUGACAGAGCCUCAGAGGAAGCACGGGCUAAGUAUGUGCCAGCAGCCGCGGUAAUACAUACUGUGCGAACGUUAUUCGGAUUCACUGGGCUUAAAGGGUGCGUAGGCGGCUUGUUAAGUAGGGUGUGAAAGCCCCCAGCUCAACUGGGGAACUGCAUUCUAUACUGGUGAGCUAGAGUGAGAUAGGGGUGUGUGGAACUGCCAGUGGAGCGGUGAAAUGUGUUGAUAUUGGCAGGAACGCCGGUGGCGAAAGCGACACACUGGGUCUCAACUGACGCUGAGGCACGAAAGCCAGGGGAGCGAACGGGAUUAGAUACCCCGGUAGUCCCUGAGCGGGCUGGCAAGGCGCAU
Molecule: ribosomal RNA, 469 nt
Filed under: uncultured bacterium
Lineage: Bacteria
Description: bacterial SSU rRNA
Rfam family: Bacterial small subunit ribosomal RNA
Source: RNAcentral